GACGAACGCUGGCGGAGAGCAUAAUACAUGCAAGUAGAACGCUGAAAGAAAAAAAUGAUUAUAUGGAAGAGAUGAAAAAGAGAAAGAAAAGAAACAAUAAAAAAAAAGAUAGAGGAGAAUAACUAUUGGAAACGAUAGCUAAUACCGCAUAAUAGUAGAUGUCGCAUGACAUUUGCUUAAAAGGUGCAAUUGCAUCACUACCAGAUGGACCUGCGUUGUAUUAGCUAGUUGGUGAGGUAACGGCUCACCAAGGCAACGAUACAUAGCCGACCUGAGAGGGUGAUCGGCCACACUGGGACUGAGACACGGCCCAGACUCCUACGGGAGGCGACAGUAGGGAAUCUUCGGCAAUGGACGGAAGUCUGACCGAGCAACGCCGCGUGAGUGAAGAAGGUUUUCGGAUCGUAAAGCUCUGUUGUAAGAGAAGAACGAGUGUGAGAGUGGAAAGUUCACACUGUGACGGUAUCUUACCAGAAAGGGACGGCUAACUACGUG
Molecule: ribosomal RNA, 495 nt
Filed under: uncultured bacterium
Lineage: Bacteria
Description: partial 16S ribosomal RNA
Rfam family: Bacterial small subunit ribosomal RNA
Source: RNAcentral